This 30-nucleotide non-coding RNA is filed under the name Homo sapiens (human). Lineage: Eukaryota; Metazoa; Chordata; Mammalia; Primates; Hominidae. The record is from RNAcentral.
GUACACUUUUCUGUGUGGCCUUUGAAAUGA